GCCCCGCCUCUCCCCGCCUUCUGGAGCCGCUGGUAUAGCUCCUUCCAGGGCUCCUUGGAGACGGAGGGCGGGGCUAGGGCGCCGGAGUCACGUGGUCGCGCCACCGCGCGAUUACUAGCUGUCAAAAGAGUCCUCAGAAGUGUCCUGAGCGGUCGCAGGGUAAUGACGUCGGCCGUAUCGGGGAUGCUGGAACCUGCGGUUGAGUGAGAAACCGGCGCCACCGCCUGCGUCUUGGUCUCGGGCUGGUGGCCAGCGGGGUCUGGGCGUGGUUUUACCCAGCUCCUUUGCGAAGCUGCUGUCCUUUCCUCAACGUUACCACCCGGCUGGGCAGCCUACCCUCGCAGCAACAGGUGUGCACCUUCCAAGCUUGCAACAGACCACAUUCAGAAGCUUGAUUUCUUGUUGUUCUGGGAAUAUCUGGAUCAGAGAUUUCUCCAAGCCACUCUCCCCGUCAUCUCCUCCACCCCCAGGACCCAACUCCUGCCCCUCCCACCCUAGCCCCUGUUCUCCCUGCCCACCUCCUACCCCACUGGAGUGGCCUUUCAUCAAACCUAAACCAAAGAAACCAACAGACCUUGCUGUCACCACUACUCCGGGACCUGGAAGUUAAAGCGAGGGAGAGACGGUGAAACACAGAAAGCAGAACGCCUUCUGUUCUUCCACAACACAGGGUUUGUGGACGUGGCCACUAUAAGAACUCGCACUGCGUGCUGAUUAUACUCCUCAGCACAAUUCAUUUCUUAAACUUUUUAGAAUAAUUUAAAAUUUACAAAAAGUUGCAAAAAUAAAAACCAGUAAACUUUUCA
RNAcentral lists this long non-coding RNA (806 nucleotides) under Homo sapiens (human). Its description in RNAcentral is "HSALNT0265719". Lineage: Eukaryota; Metazoa; Chordata; Mammalia; Primates; Hominidae. The record is from RNAcentral.